Molecule: ribosomal RNA, 429 nt
Filed under: Chloroflexota bacterium
Lineage: Bacteria; Bacillati; Chloroflexota
Description: Chloroflexi bacterium partial 16S ribosomal RNA
Rfam family: Bacterial small subunit ribosomal RNA
Source: RNAcentral
UGGGGAAUAUUGCACAAUGGGCGCAAGCCUGAUGCAGCCAUGCCGCGUGUAUGAAGAAGGCCUUCGGGUUGUAAAGUACUUUCAGUCGGGAGGAAGGUGUCAAGGUUAAUAACCUUGGCAAUUGACGUUACCGACAGAAGAAGCACCGGCUAACUCCGUGCCAGCAGCCGCGGUAAUACGGAGGGUGCAAGCGUUAAUCGGAAUUACUGGGCGUAAAGCGCACGCAGGCGGUUGAUUGAGUCAGAUGUGAAAUCCCCGGGCUUAACCCGGGAAUUGCAUCUGAUACUGGUCAGCUAGAGUCUUGUAGAGGGGGGUAGAAUUCCAUGUGUAGCGGUGAAAUGCGUAGAGAUGUGGAGGAAUACCGGUGGCGAAGGCGGCCCCCUGGACAAAGACUGACGCUCAGGUGCGAAAGCGUGGGAAGCAAACAGG